GAAACCUAAUAAGAGAACUAAUCCAUAAUAGAAUAAAAGAAGAUCAAAGAAUAUGAACUAGAAAACAUUUCAUUGGGUACUUGUACUUAACCAUCAUUGUCUACAAUGUUCAUAACUUGCAAGGAUCGCAAUUCCUCCAUAGUUUCUCCUUAGUUGGAUUGGUUAAAAGCUUUUUAACCUGCAGACAUCGGGUACUUGUACUUCAAAGUGGUCCUCAUCUUCUCCUAUCCAUUUUGGAUAUUUUUCCUGUCACCAUUUGUUCCACUCGGUCGGAAGUCCUUGAUUAGUUGUUUUGCCCUUACCAGCGUACUAACUGUGGAUGGGAUAGGUAACAGAGACAU
RNAcentral lists this unclassified non-coding RNA (341 nucleotides) under Hevea brasiliensis (rubber tree). The record is from RNAcentral. Lineage: Eukaryota; Viridiplantae; Streptophyta; Magnoliopsida; Malpighiales; Euphorbiaceae.